RNAcentral lists this ribosomal RNA (368 nucleotides) under uncultured bacterium. Its description in RNAcentral is "bacterial SSU rRNA". It matches the Rfam family "Bacterial small subunit ribosomal RNA", at positions 527 to 896 of the family's 1533-position model. The record is from RNAcentral.
GAAGGGGGCUAGCGUUGCUCGGAAUCACUGGCGUAAAGGGCGCGUAGGCGGCGUUUUAAGUCGGGGGUGAAAGCCUGUGGCUCAACCACAGAAUGGCCUUCGAUACUGGGACGCUUGAGUCUGGUAGAGGUUGGUGGAACUGCGAGUGUAGAGGUGAAAUUCGUAGAUAUUCGCAAGAACACCGGUGGCGAAGGCGGCCAACUGGACCGGCACUGACGCUGAGGCGCGAAAGCGUGGGGAGCAAACAGGAUUAGAUACCCUGGUAGUCCACGCUGUAAACGAUGAAUGCUAGCUGUUGGGAUGCAUGCAUCUCAGUAGCGCAGCUAACGCAUUAAGCAUUCCGCCUGGGGAGUACGGUCGCAAGAUUA